GGGAGAUUUCCCGAGUGGCCAAAGGGGACAGACUGUAAAUCUGCUGGCUAUGCCUUCGGUGGUUCGAAUCCACCAUCUCCCACCA
RNAcentral lists this transfer RNA (85 nucleotides) under Ruminococcus sp. RNAcentral describes it as "tRNA-Tyr". It matches the Rfam family "tRNA". From Rfam's summary of the family: Transfer RNA (tRNA) molecules are approximately 80 nucleotides in length. Lineage: Bacteria; Bacillati; Bacillota; Clostridia; Eubacteriales; Oscillospiraceae. RNAcentral also lists the same sequence under 3 other names. The record is from RNAcentral.